RNAcentral lists this ribosomal RNA (488 nucleotides) under uncultured bacterium. Its description in RNAcentral is "partial 16S ribosomal RNA". It matches the Rfam family "Bacterial small subunit ribosomal RNA", at positions 355 to 858 of the family's 1533-position model. The record is from RNAcentral.
UGGGGAAUAUUGCACAAUGGGCGAAAGCCUGAUGCAGCAACGCCGCGUGAGUGAUGAAGGUCUUCGGAUUGUAAAGCUCUGUCUUUUGGGACGAUAAUGACGGUACCAAAGGAGGAAGCCACGGCUAACUACGUGCCAGCAGCCGCGGUAAUACGUAGGUGGCGAGCGUUGUCCGGAUUUACUGGGCGUAAAGGGUGCGUAGGCGGAUGUUUAAGUGAGAUGUGAAAUACCCGGGCUUAACUUGGGUGCUGCAUUUCAAACUGGAUAUCUAGAGUGCAGGAGAGGAGAAUGGAAUUCCUAGUGUAGCGGUGAAAUGCGUAGAGAUUAGGAAGAACACCAGUGGCGAAGGCGAUUCUCUGGACUGUAACUGACGCUGAGGCACGAAAGCGUGGGUAGCAAACAGGAUUAGAUACCCUGGUAGUCCACGCCGUAAACGAUGAGUACUAGGUUGUAGGAGGUAUCGACCCCUUCUGUGCCGCAGUAAACAC